Long non-coding RNA from Nothoprocta perdicaria, 174 nucleotides. RefSeq lists it as uncharacterized. NCBI's taxonomy places the organism in Eukaryota, Metazoa, Chordata, Aves, Tinamiformes, Tinamidae. The record is from RefSeq and is a predicted model, not a curated record. The transcript has 3 exons.
CAGACCAAGUAGGAAUAAGACCUGCUGAGAAGCAACAUUAAGAAGGAGUCGAUGCUGUGUUUUUGAGCCGUAAGAGCAACAACGCUCCUGUGCUCAGCAAGGCUGCAAGCUCUGCCAGUCUUUGACCUUGUGAGAGCUCCGGCUCCAGCAUGGCCCAGAGCAAGAGGGGAUCAA